UACGGAGGGAGCUAGCGUUGUUCGGCAUUACUGGGCGUAAAGCGCACGUAGGCGGCUUUGUAAGUUAGAGGUGAAAGCCCGGGGCUCAACUCCGGAACUGCCUUUAAGACUGCAUCGCUUGAAUCCAGGAGAGGUGAGUGGAAUUCCGAGUGUAGAGGUGAAAUUCGUAGAUAUUCGGAAGAACACCAGUGGCGAAGGCGGCUCACUGGACUGGUAUUGACGCUGAGGUGCGAAAGCGUGGGGAGCAAACAGG
This 253-nucleotide ribosomal RNA is filed under the name uncultured bacterium. RNAcentral's name for it is "partial 16S ribosomal RNA". It matches the Rfam family "Bacterial small subunit ribosomal RNA", at positions 524 to 776 of the family's 1533-position model. The record is from RNAcentral.